Molecule: transfer RNA, 88 nt
Filed under: Deltaproteobacteria bacterium
Lineage: Bacteria; Pseudomonadati; Myxococcota; Myxococcia
Also listed under: 3 other names
Description: tRNA-Leu
Rfam family: tRNA
About the family: Transfer RNA (tRNA) molecules are approximately 80 nucleotides in length.
Source: RNAcentral
GCCGGAGUGGUGAAAUUGGUAGACGCGCUGGACUCAAAAUCCAGUGGACCUUGCGUCCGUGUCGGUUCGAUUCCGACCUCCGGCACCA